GCCUAUGGCCGUACCACCCUGAACGUGCCCGAUCUCGCGUGGUCUCAGAAGUUAAGCAGGUUCAGCCCUGUUUAGUGCUUGGACGGGAGAUAUUUCUUCAGAAUGUGUGCUUUAGUCC
RNAcentral lists this ribosomal RNA (118 nucleotides) under Fukomys damarensis (Damara mole-rat). Lineage: Eukaryota; Metazoa; Chordata; Mammalia; Rodentia; Bathyergidae. The record is from RNAcentral.